This 93-nucleotide transfer RNA is filed under the name Candidatus Desulfofervidus auxilii. Its description in RNAcentral is "tRNA-Ser". It matches the Rfam family "tRNA". From Rfam's summary of the family: Transfer RNA (tRNA) molecules are approximately 80 nucleotides in length. The record is from RNAcentral. Lineage: Bacteria; Pseudomonadati; Thermodesulfobacteriota; Candidatus Desulfofervidia; Candidatus Desulfofervidales; Candidatus Desulfofervidaceae.
GGAGAGAUGGCCGAGUGGACGAAGGCGCUCGCCUGCUAAGCGAGCGUGGGGUUAAAAGCCCCACCGUGGGUUCGAAUCCCACUCUCUCCGCCA